CCUACGGGAGGCAGCAGUGAGGAAUAUUGGUCAAUGGCCGGAAGGCUGAACCAGCCAUGCCGCGUGAAGGUCAGUGCCCUAUGGGCGUUAAACUUCUUUUGUGCGGGAGCAAUAAUGGUCACGUGUGGCCAGCCGAGAGUACCGUACGAAUAAGCAUCGGCUAACUCCGUGCCAGCAGCCGCGGUAAUACGGGGGAUGCAAGCGUUAUCCGGAUUGAUUGGGGUUAAAGGGGGCGUAGGCGGGGAGGUAAGUCAGCGGUGAAAUGCACCCGCUCAACGGGGUGAAGUGCCAUUGAUACUGCCUUGCUGGACUGCGGCUGCCGUGGGCGGAAUGUGUGGUGUAGCGGU
This 347-nucleotide ribosomal RNA is filed under the name uncultured bacterium. Its description in RNAcentral is "partial 16S ribosomal RNA". It matches the Rfam family "Bacterial small subunit ribosomal RNA", at positions 338 to 682 of the family's 1533-position model. The record is from RNAcentral.